RNAcentral lists this ribosomal RNA (253 nucleotides) under uncultured bacterium. RNAcentral's name for it is "partial 16S ribosomal RNA". It matches the Rfam family "Bacterial small subunit ribosomal RNA", at positions 524 to 776 of the family's 1533-position model. The record is from RNAcentral.
UACGUAGGCAGCAAGCGUUGUUCGGAGUUACUGGGCGUAAAGAGUGCGUAGGCGGUGCUCUAAGUUUGGUGUGAAAUCCCUCGGCUUAACCGGGGAACUGCGUCUGAUACUGGAUGGCUUGAGUUCGGGAGAGGGAUGCGGAAUUCCAGGUGUAGCGGUGAAAUGCGUAGAUAUCCGGAGGAACACCAGUGGCGAAGGCGACUUUCUGGCCUGUUCUUGACGCUGAGGCGCGAAAGCUAGGGGAGCAAACGGG